GCGUGCAUAUACAUGCAAGUCGAGCGGACAGAUGGGAGCUUGCUCCCUGAUGUUAGCGGCGGACGGGUGAGUAACACGUGGGUAACCUGCCUGUAAGACUGGGAUAACUCCGGGAAACCGGGGCUAAUACCGGAUGCUUGUUUGAACCGCAUGGUUCAAACAUAAAAGGUGGCUUCGGCUACCACUUACAGAUGGACCCGCGGCGCAUUAGCUAGUUGGUGAGGUAACGGCUCACCAAGGCAACGAUGCGUAGCCGACCUGAGAGGGUGAUCGGCCACACUGGGACUGAGACACGGCCCAGACUCCUACGGGAGGCAGCAGUAGGGAAUCUUCCGCAAUGGACGAAAGUCUGACGGAGCAACGCCGCGUGAGUGAUGAAGGUUUUCGGAUCGUAAAGCUCUGUUGUUAGGGAAGAACAAGUACCGUUCGAAUAGGGCGGUACCUUGACGGUACCUAACCAGAAAGCCACGGCUAACUACGUGCCAGCAGCCGCGGUAAUACGUAGGUGGCAAGCGUUGUCCGGAAUUAUUGGGCGUAAAGGGCUCGCAGGCGGUUUCUUAAGUCUGAUGUGAAAGCCCCCGGCUCAACCGGGGAGGGUCAUUGGAAACUGGGGAACUUGAGUGCAGAAGAGGAGAGUGGAAUUCCACGUGUAGCGGUGAAAUGCGUAGAGAUGUGGAGGAACACCAGUGGCGAAGGCGACUCUCUGGUCUGUAACUGACGCUGAGGAGCGAAAGCGUGGGGAGCGAACAGGAUUAGAUACCCUGGUAGUCCACGCCGUAAACGAUGAGUGCUAAGUGUUAGGGGUUUCCGCCCCUUAGUGCUGCAGCUAACGCAUUAAGCACUCCGCCUGGGGAGUACGGUCGCAAGACUGAAACUCAAGGAAUUGACGGGGGCCCGCAC
Molecule: ribosomal RNA, 900 nt
Filed under: Bacillus subtilis
Lineage: Bacteria; Bacillati; Bacillota; Bacilli; Caryophanales; Bacillaceae
Description: bacterial SSU rRNA
Rfam family: Bacterial small subunit ribosomal RNA
Source: RNAcentral